This is a long non-coding RNA of Mercurialis annua (annual mercury), 545 nucleotides long. RefSeq lists it as uncharacterized. Lineage: Eukaryota; Viridiplantae; Streptophyta; Magnoliopsida; Malpighiales; Euphorbiaceae. The transcript has 2 exons. The record is from RefSeq and is a predicted model, not a curated record.
UAGCCCUAAAAUGAAUAAAUGAUAUACUAAACUCUUAAAGUCUAAAUUCCAAAAACCCUAAUCUAAUGUGUCACCGCCUCCAAGACUCCAACUCUCACAGUCACUCUCUUCUUUGAUUUUUCUGUCUUGGCCACAUCGUCUUUGUUGCUUCAACACCGGUUAUCUCUUCACAUCAUCUUUGUUGGUUUGUCUCUGUUGCGUCAACGUUACAGCUCCUUCGUUUGUCAUCAUUUCUGAUCCGACGAGCGCCUCUGUUACUCUAAGCUUCCAACUGAAUUUUGGCCGCCUCUACUGCUUCAAAAGCGUGCUUCUGCUCCUAUUCUUCAUCGUCGAUCAGUCUUCUUCUCAAAGGCUUGCUACAGGUUUUGGAGCUACCACUACCAUUCCCUAGCGCCGUCGGCUCAAUAAUUUUGGUCAUGACAUUUAUGAAUUGACAUGUUGUGGUAUGUCGACAACUGAGAGGUCGUUCAUCAUAUGCUUUAGUAUGUUAUAUUUGUCUGAAGUAUGUGUUUAUGAAAUAAUUGUCGAGAUUGAUGUUUGAUGCU